Molecule: ribosomal RNA, 238 nt
Filed under: Paenibacillus sp. ICGEB2008
Lineage: Bacteria; Bacillati; Bacillota; Bacilli; Caryophanales; Paenibacillaceae
Description: partial 16S ribosomal RNA
Rfam family: Bacterial small subunit ribosomal RNA
Source: RNAcentral
UCUUUAAUGGAGAGUUUGAUCCUGGCUCAGGACGAACGCUGGCGGCGUGCCUAAUACAUGCAAGUCGAGCGGGGUUAAUUAGAAGCUUGCUUCUAAUUAACCUAGCGGCGGACGGGUGAGUAACACGUAGGCAACCUGCCCACAAGACAGGGAUAACUACCGGAAACGGUAGCUAAUACCCGAUACAUCCUUUUCCUGCAUGGGAGAAGGAGGAAAGGCGGAGCAAUCUGUCACUUGU